AUUGAACGCUGGCGGCAUGCCUUACACAUGCAAGUCGAACGGCAGCGCGGACUUCGGUCUGGCGGCGAGUGGCGCACGGGUGAGUAAUACAUCGGAACGUACCCUGUUGUGGGGGAUAACUAGUCGAAAGAUUAGCUAAUACCGCAUACGACCUGAGGGUGAAAGUGGGGGACCGGAAACGGCCUCAUGCAGCAGGAGCGGCCGAUGUCUGAUUAGCUAGUUGGUGGGGUAAAGGCCCACCAAGGCGACGAUCAGUAGCUGGUCUGAGAGGACGAUCAGCCACACUGGGACUGAGACACGGCCCAGACUCCUACGGGAGGCAGCAGUGGGGAAUUGUGGACAAUGGGGGCAACCCUGAUCCAGCAAUGCCGCGUGUGUGAAGAAGGCCUUCGGGUUGUAAAGCACUUUUGUCCGGAAAGAAAUCGCGCUGGUUAAUACCUGGCGUGGAUGACGGUACCGGAAGAAUAAGCACCGGCUAACUACGUG
This 486-nucleotide ribosomal RNA is filed under the name uncultured bacterium. RNAcentral describes it as "partial 16S ribosomal RNA". It matches the Rfam family "Bacterial small subunit ribosomal RNA", at positions 30 to 507 of the family's 1533-position model. The record is from RNAcentral.